Molecule: ribosomal RNA, 253 nt
Filed under: uncultured bacterium
Lineage: Bacteria
Description: partial 16S ribosomal RNA
Rfam family: Bacterial small subunit ribosomal RNA
Source: RNAcentral
UACAUGGGGUGCAAACGUUGCUCGGAAUUAUUGGGCGUAAAGCGCACGUAGGCGGUUUGUUAAGUCGGAUGUGAAAUCCCUCGGCUCAACUGAGGAAGUGCAUCCGAAACUGGCAGGCUUGAGUACUAAAGAGGGUCGCGGAAUUCCCGGUGUAGAGGUGAAAUUCGUAGAUAUCGGGAGGAACACCGGUGGCGAAGGCGGUUCUCUGGGCCUUACCUGACGCUGAGGAGCGAAAGCGUGGGGAGCGAACAGG